AAGUCGUAACAAGGUUUCCGUAGGUGAACCUGCGGAAGGAUCAUUACCGAGUUCAUGCCCUCACGGGUAGAUCUCCCACCCUCUGUAUACCAUACCUUUGUUGCUUUGGCGGGCCGCCUAGCUACUGGCUUCGGCUGGUAAGUGCCCGCCAGAGGACCCAAAACCCUGAAUAUUAGUGUCGUCUGAGUAAAAUUUUAAUAUUUAAAACUUUCAACAACGGAUCUCUUGGCUCUG
Molecule: unclassified non-coding RNA, 234 nt
Filed under: Tetracladium marchalianum
Lineage: Eukaryota; Fungi; Ascomycota; Leotiomycetes; Helotiales
Also listed under: 1 other name
Description: partial internal transcribed spacer region
Rfam family: Eukaryotic small subunit ribosomal RNA (bases 1-46)
Source: RNAcentral